RNAcentral lists this ribosomal RNA (510 nucleotides) under uncultured bacterium. RNAcentral describes it as "partial 16S ribosomal RNA". It matches the Rfam family "Bacterial small subunit ribosomal RNA", at positions 28 to 507 of the family's 1533-position model. The record is from RNAcentral.
GACGAACGCUGGCGGCGUGCUUAACACAUGCAAGUCGAACGAAGAGCGAUGGAAGCUUGCUUCUAUCAAUCUUAGUGGCGAACGGGUGAGUAACGCGUAAUCAACCUGCCCUUCAGAGGGGGACAACAGUUGGAAACGACUGCUAAUACCGCAUACGAUCUAAUCUCGGCAUCGAGGAUAGAUGAAAGGUGGCCUCUACAUGUAAGCUAUCACUGAAGGAGGGGAUUGCGUCUGAUUAGCUAGUUGGAGGGGUAACGGCCCACCAAGGCGAUGAUCAGUAGCCGGUCGGGGAGGAUGAACGGCCACAUUGGGACUGGGACACGGCCCAGACUCCUACGGGAGGCAGCAGUGGGGAAUCUUCCGCAAUGGACGAAAGUCUGACGGAGCAACGCCGCGUGAGUGAUGACGGCCUUCGGGUUGUAAAGCUCUGUUAAUCGGGACGAAAGGCCUUCUUGCGAAUAGUGAGAAGGAUUGACGGUACCGGAAUAGAAAGCCACGGCUAACUACGUG